This 466-nucleotide ribosomal RNA is filed under the name uncultured bacterium. RNAcentral describes it as "partial 16S ribosomal RNA". It matches the Rfam family "Bacterial small subunit ribosomal RNA", at positions 28 to 507 of the family's 1533-position model. The record is from RNAcentral.
GAUGAACGCUGGCGGCGUGCUUAACACAUGCAAGUCGAACGGAAAGGCCCAAGCUUGCUUGGGUACUCGAGUGGCGAACGGGUGAGUAACACGUGGGUGAUCUGCCCUGCACUUCGGGAUAAGCCUGGGAAACUGGGUCUAAUACCGGAUAGGACCACAUUUUGGAUGGUGUGGUGGAAAGUUUUUCGGUGUGGGAUGAGCUCGCGGCCUAUCAGCUUGUUGGUGGGGUAAUGGCCUACCAAGGCGUCGACGGGUAGCCGGCCUGAGAGGGUGUACGGCCACAUUGGGACUGAGAUACGGCCCAGACUCCUACGGGGGGCAGCAGUGGGGAAUAUUGCACAAUGGGCGCAAGCCUGAUGCAGCGACGCCGCGUGGGGGAUGACGGCCUUCGGGUUGGAAACUCCUUUCGCUAGGGACGAAGCGUUAUGUGACGGUACCUGGAGAAGAAGCACCGGCUAACUACGUG